GAUGAAGAACGUAGUGAAAUGCGAUAAGUAGUGUGAAUUGCAGAAUUCAGUGAAUCAUCGAAUCUUUGAACGCACAUUGCGCCCCUUGGUAUUCCAUGGGGCAUGCCUGUUCGAGCGUCAUUUGUACCUUCAAGCUGUGCUUGGUGUUGGGUGUUUGUCUCGCCUCUGCGUGUAGACUCGCCUCAAAACAAUUGGCAGCCGGCGUAUUGAUUUCGGAGCGCAGUACAUCUCGCGCUUUGCACUCAUAACGACGACGUCCAAAAGUACAUUUUUACACUCUUGACCUCGGAUCAGGUAGGGAUACCCGCUGAACUUAAGCAUAUCAAUAAGCGGAGGA
This 337-nucleotide unclassified non-coding RNA is filed under the name soil metagenome. RNAcentral's name for it is "partial contains 5.8S ribosomal RNA, internal transcribed spacer 2, and large subunit ribosomal RNA". The stretch from base 1 to 120 matches the Rfam family "5.8S ribosomal RNA", at positions 35 to 154 of the family's 154-position model. The record is from RNAcentral.